GCCAACGACCAUACCAUGUUGAAUACACCAGUUUUCGUCUAAUCACUGAAGUUAAGCAACAUCGGGCGUAAUUAGUACUUGGAUGGGUGACCGCUUGGGAACACUACGUGCCGUUGGCA
RNAcentral lists this ribosomal RNA (119 nucleotides) under Rhopalosiphum maidis (corn leaf aphid). The record is from RNAcentral. Lineage: Eukaryota; Metazoa; Arthropoda; Insecta; Hemiptera; Aphididae.